ACUGCAAGUGCUGGGUGGUAUGGUAGCAACAUAUUUCGUUUUAUAAGAAACUACCAAACUGUUUUCUGAAGUGGCCAUACUUUUUUAUGUUCCAACCAGCAAU
RNAcentral lists this microRNA precursor (103 nucleotides) under Marmota monax (woodchuck). The record is from RNAcentral. Lineage: Eukaryota; Metazoa; Chordata; Mammalia; Rodentia; Sciuridae.